Molecule: ribosomal RNA, 517 nt
Filed under: uncultured bacterium
Lineage: Bacteria
Description: bacterial SSU rRNA
Rfam family: Bacterial small subunit ribosomal RNA
Source: RNAcentral
CUACGUGCCAGCAGCCGCGGUAAUACGGAAGGUCCAGGCGUUAUCCGGAUUUAUUGGGUUUAAAGGGAGCGUAGGCGGAUUAUUAAGUCAGUGGUGAAAGACGGUGGCUCAACCAUCGUUAGCCAUUGAAACUGGUAGUCUUGAGUGCAGACAGGGAUGCUGGAACUCGUGGUGUAGCGGUGAAAUGCUUAGAUAUCACGAUGAACUCCGAUCGCGAAGGCAGGUGUCCGGGCUGCAACUGACGCUGAGGCUCGAAAGUGUGGGUAUCAAACAGGAUUAGAUACCCUGGUAGUCCACGCCGUAAACGAUGAGUGCUAGGUGUUAGACCCUUUCCGGGGUUUAGUGCCGCAGCUAACGCAUUAAGCACUCCGCCUGGGGAGUACGACCGCAAGGUUGAAACUCAAAGGAAUUGACGGGGGCCCGCACAAGCGGUGGAGCAUGUGGUUUAAUUCGAAGCAACGCGAAGAACCUUACCAGGUCUUGACAUCCCUCUGACCGCUCUAGAGAUAGAGUUUUC